CCCUUAGAUGUUCCGGGCCGCACGCGCGCUACACUGACUACUUCAACGAGUUGUUUCCUUGAUCGAAAGGUCUGGGUAAUCUUUGAAAGGUAGUCGUGAUGGGGAUAGAUCCUUGCAAUUUUUGAUCUUCAACGAGGAAUUCCUAGUAAACGCAAGUCAUCAGCUUGCAUUGAUUACGUCCCUGCCCUUUGUACACACCGCCCGUCGCACCUACCGAUUGAAUGGUCCGGUGAAUCUUUAGGACUGUGGCUGAGGCCUUGCCUUGUGCGGGUCUGGCCGUGGGAAUUUAGUUAAACCUUACCAUUUAGAGGAAGGUGAAGUCGUAACA
This 328-nucleotide ribosomal RNA is filed under the name uncultured eukaryote. RNAcentral describes it as "partial 18S ribosomal RNA". It matches the Rfam family "Eukaryotic small subunit ribosomal RNA", at positions 1470 to 1796 of the family's 1831-position model. The record is from RNAcentral.